This 258-nucleotide unclassified non-coding RNA is filed under the name uncultured fungus. RNAcentral's name for it is "partial contains 18S rRNA, ITS1, 5.8S rRNA". Lineage: Eukaryota; Fungi. The record is from RNAcentral.
GCAGAAGGAUCAUUAGUGAAGAUUUGGGCAGGCCAUACGGACGCCAAAAAAGUGUCCCUGGCCGCCUACAUCCACUAUACAUCCACAAACCCGUGUGCACUGUCUUGGAGAAAGGCUUCUUGAGAAGUUUUGUGGCCUCUCUUGGGGUCUUUCUUCGCUACAAACUCGAAUGGUUAGUAUGAACGUGGAACUUGGUUGGACCGUCACUGGCCAACAAACUAUACACAACUUUCGACAACGGAUCUCUUGGUUCUCCCA